AUGUCACAUUAUCUUGAAUCUGAGUUUUGGAUUUUUUUAAUGGUCACAAUAAUAACUACUUUAUUAAGUUACAGAGAGAACAAGGUGAGAUGCAACAAGGGAGAACACUUUGUAAGCCAUAAAAUUGAAGAGAUUACUGAUAUUAAUAAACAGUAAUUGCUAACUCGUUGAAUCAUUGCCUUUGUAUAAAAAUAUGAUGUUGUUAACUUUGGACUAGGAAAAAAAAGAAACGACAAACAUGACAGAGAAAACCUGUUUCCUGGAAAUUCCCGUGGGCCAGGUAUGUCUGCUAUGUAUCCAGGUGAGAAGCCCUUGUAAUCACAUCAGUGCAUAUCACAAUGUAAAUAGGCAGCUGUUUGCCUUCACCUAUAAAAGGAGAAUGCUUGUUUGGUAGUGAAAUGUUAUACAUCCAAAUUAGUUUAUCCAAUGUUCAAUUUCACUUUUAUUUUGAUAUUAGUGGAAAGCAAUUUUGAGAACAUUGAGAGUUAUUUUGCUUUUUUUUGUCAUCAGUUCAUCUUGAUUCAAAUACUGAACUUUAAAAUCAAUUUAUUUCAUUUAACUUGAAAGCUGAAAUUUGGUAUAUAAAUUGUUAAGAGUUAUAGAACUAUCAACUGGCCACUAUGUCAAAUUUUUCUUUGGGAAUCACUCUAUUUUUUCUAAAGACUGUAUUUGAGAUAAGCCAGUAGAGUGUUUUGCUUUUUAAAUUCCUUCCUUGUGCUUAUAUUCUACAAAGUAUCUAGAUUCGCCUCCUGUUACAUUUAAAACGCAUUGCCAUUAACUGUUGAGAUAACGUGGAUCAGUCUCAAUCAGAUAAGGGAUAUGGAAUUUUCAAAAAGUUUAUAGUAUCUGUUUAUGGUAUUAAAGUACAUUUGUAAUUUCAAAACUGGAUUUGCAACCUAGGUGCUACACCACAGCCCAUCUUGUUCAUAUGCUCUCACCCUUAUUGAGCCGUUUGGCUGGGAAACUGCUAAUUUAUCUCCUUGUGCACAGCUAGGUAACUUUCAGUGCAGAGAGAGCUUGUGUUUGUUGGUGAUGGAGGUGAAGGAGGGAAAGAGCAGCUUUGGGGAACUCAGAUCUGCGCUACUUUUGACACUGUGUGGUAUGCAAAAUCUAAAGAAUUUACUGGCCUGGUAGAUUAACUACUUACACAGAGAAGAGAUAAUGGAGACCCGGCAUGCUUUCCAGGAAACAGGCAGCUGGGAAGAGAGGGCGUGAUUACUCCCCAGCCAGCCUUGCUGAGAAGUGCCCUCACAGCUGAGAGCCAUGCAAAGAGGAUGACAGAGCUGAGUAAGGCAGAUGGGAUCUGUUAGCCACCGCUGACUCUAACAAUAGGCCAAAAAGGAAAACUGCCACUGUGUUCCCAGACAGUGAAUGAGAGGGGCUGGCUGGCACUGCAGUCCCUGAAUAGAAUUUUAAAGGAGGAGUGGGCUGAUCCAGGAGGGAGGGAUAUCAUAAGCACAACUCAAUUCAGACUUGUGCCAUUAUCUUGGGCUGGUGGGCUGUUAAUUUGGG
RNAcentral lists this long non-coding RNA (1512 nucleotides) under Macaca mulatta (Rhesus monkey). RNAcentral describes it as "lncRNA (ENSMMUG00000054312.1)". Lineage: Eukaryota; Metazoa; Chordata; Mammalia; Primates; Cercopithecidae. The record is from RNAcentral.